This is a long non-coding RNA of Lolium rigidum, 310 nucleotides long. RefSeq lists it as uncharacterized. The transcript has 3 exons. Lineage: Eukaryota; Viridiplantae; Streptophyta; Magnoliopsida; Poales; Poaceae. The record is from RefSeq and is a predicted model, not a curated record.
AGGUUUUGGCAAAGUUCACUGGUGACCAGCAAAUACACGCAGAAAAUGCAAACGAUUGAUGAGCUUCUGAAUAAAAUGAAUGUUAUCCAUGCAUCCUAUACCAACAAUAUUUCUCUAAAACGGAGUUUUCGAGAAGGAGCAAAUCGAAUUCACCUUCAGAAGUGUUCAAAUUUGAAGGAGAAAAAAUCAGAGGAAGGAGAAGAAAGUGAAAAGAACAGUUACCAAGGAAGAGAUGGUUAAGCAAUCCUUUUAAAGUUGUCGGGAGAAAGCCAUUCUAAGCAAUCAUGAUGCCGGAGACCCCUUGUGGCGG